ACAUAGCUUCUAGAUAAGGGUCUUAGGCUUGAGGGAUUAGAAGUGAUGCCUGCCCAAUGGUUGUAUCUAAAUUUAAAUAAUAAAAGAAGUAAUUUAAUUAAAGACAAUUGAAUGGCCGCGGUAACUCUGACCGUGAUAAUGUAGCGCAAUAAAUAGCCAAUUAAUUGUUGGCACGUAUGAAUGGCUUAACGAAUACCCUACUGUCUCAAGAUAAAAACCAGUGAAAUUGAAGUUGUAGUGAAAAUGCUACGUAUAAAUUGUAAGACGAGAAGACCCUGUUGAGCUUUACUGGAGGUUUUUAUUGUUUUCCAAAAAUAAGGUGUAGAUUAUGUGGGAACAAAUGAAAAUUCCACAACUUGUAUGCAAGAAAACCACCCAUUUAUGGGGGAAGUUUAAGUUGGACAGUUUAGUUGGGGCGACUGCCUUCUAAAGAGUAACGGAGGUGAACAAAAGGUGAGGAAUGAAAUAGAAUAAAGGAAAAGCCUGACAGUGAGGAGGACUUCCAAGCUGACACGGUUAAAAAUUGAUACCGUGGGUUAUAGUGACCCGUUAGUUAAGAGUGGGAUUGCUAACGAGCAACGAAUAAAAGUUACCACAGGGAUAACAGCGUAAUAUUGUUUGAGAGUUCUUAUCGAUGACGAUGUU
RNAcentral lists this ribosomal RNA (645 nucleotides) under Diacarnus megaspinorhabdosa. RNAcentral describes it as "partial 16S ribosomal RNA". It matches the Rfam family "Bacterial large subunit ribosomal RNA", at positions 1813 to 2518 of the family's 2925-position model. The record is from RNAcentral. Lineage: Eukaryota; Metazoa; Porifera; Demospongiae; Poecilosclerida; Podospongiidae.